AACGGAAAGGCCCUGCUUUUGUGGGGUGCUCGAGUGGCGAACGGGUGAGUAACACGUGAGUAACCUGCCCUUGACUUUGGGAUAACUUCAGGAAACUGGGGCUAAUACCGGAUAGGAGCUCCUGCUGCAUGGUGGGGGUUGGAAAGUUUCGGCGGUUGGGGAUGGACUCGCGGCUUAUCAGCUUGUUGGUGGGGUAGUGGCUUACCAAGGCUUUGACGGGUAGCCGGCCUGAGAGGGUGACCGGCCACAUUGGGACUGAGAUACGGCCCAGACUCCUACGGGAGGCAGCAGUGGGGAAUAUUGCACAAUGGGCGGAAGCCUGAUGCAGCAACGCCGCGUGCGGGAUGACGGCCUUCGGGUUGUAAACCGCUUUCGCCUGUGACGAAGCGUGAGUGACGGUAAUGGGUAAAGAAGCACCGGCUAACUACGUGCCAGCAGCCGCGGUGAUACGUAGGGUGCGAGCGUUGUCCGGAUUUAUUGGGCGUAAAGGGCUCGUAGGUGGUUGAUCGCGUCGGAAGUGUAAUCUUGGGGCUUAACCCUGAGCGUGCUUUCGAUACGGGUUGACUUG
RNAcentral lists this ribosomal RNA (568 nucleotides) under uncultured Propionibacterium sp. RNAcentral describes it as "bacterial SSU rRNA". It matches the Rfam family "Bacterial small subunit ribosomal RNA", at positions 65 to 644 of the family's 1533-position model. Lineage: Bacteria; Bacillati; Actinomycetota; Actinomycetes; Propionibacteriales; Propionibacteriaceae. The record is from RNAcentral.